ACGGAAGGCAGCAGUAGGGAAUCUUCCACAAUGGACGAAAGUCUGAUGGAGCAACGCCGCGUGAGUGAUGAAGGUUUUCGGAUCGUAAAACUCUGUUGUAAGGGAAGAGCAAGUACGUUAGGUAAUGAACGUACCUUGACGGUACCUUAUCAGAAAGCCACGGCUAACUACGUGCCAGCAGCCGCGGUAAUACGUAGGUGGCAAGCGUUGUCCGGAUUUAUUGGGCGUAAAGCGCGCGCAGGUGGUUUCUUAAGUCUGAUGUGAAAGCCCCCGGCUCAACCGGGGAGGGUCAUUGGAAACUGGGAGACCUGAGGGCAGAAGAGGAUAGUGGAAUUCCAAGUGUAGCGGUGAAAUGCGUAGAGAUUUGGAGGAACACCAGUGGCGAAGGCGACUGUCUGGUCUGUAACUGACACUGAGGCGCGAAAGCGUGGGGAGCAAACAGGAUUAGAUACCCUGGUA
Molecule: ribosomal RNA, 459 nt
Filed under: uncultured Kurthia sp.
Lineage: Bacteria; Bacillati; Bacillota; Bacilli; Caryophanales; Caryophanaceae
Description: partial 16S ribosomal RNA
Rfam family: Bacterial small subunit ribosomal RNA
Source: RNAcentral